This 756-nucleotide long non-coding RNA is filed under the name Gopherus agassizii (Agassiz's desert tortoise). RNAcentral's name for it is "lncRNA (ENSGAGG00000010359.1)". Lineage: Eukaryota; Metazoa; Chordata; Testudines; Testudinidae. The record is from RNAcentral.
GUUCACUUGUACUAUCUUCAUCAUGGGGUGUGUUUAUUUCCAGAAUCUUAUGAUAGGACAGCUUUUUUGACUACAUCCUGUCCCACUGACAACAUAGAAGCCAUCCUCCCAACUGCUUCCAGGAAUGAUCAGCAGAGCUGGUAUUCUGAGGUCAAUCUCAGUGUUCUCUGUAUCAUGACUGGAUUGCUGGGCGCUAAAUUCCUGACAGCACUCCUGAUCUUUAUCGUUGCCAGCAAAAGGAGAAGCAAAGCCACAGAGCAGGAGAACCAUGGCCAGCCGGAACAAACACUAGCUCCUCCCACUCACAGGACUAAAGCAAGGAAAGGAAAACACUAGUAAGACAAGGAUGUGAUGGAAGGAAGAGAAGUAGGCAAAGAAAAAGAAUUCCAAGAGUCUUUCCAGCCAAGCUCCCAACUCCCGCACUUAUACAUAUACAUGCAGAGAUACUCACACAGAUAUUGACACCUGCAGACACACACCUCCUUCGGAUGAGAAAGUUCUGCUCAGUUUUCCCAGUGCCUCCAGCCAUGACAGAUAAACCUUUGCUUGCUAAACCCUGUUUUACCUGCAAAGCUAAUAGAAAAUGUCUAGGUGCAAAAGGAACUAAAGAUACAGCAUUUGGCAGUGCACACACUUAAUUCCGGAGAGAGACUUGGAGUGUUGCUUCUGAGCCAUCAGGACCAAUGUCCAGGGGCCGCAAUGGGAUAUAUGCAUUACUCACACAUAGGAUGCUAAAAUAAAAGGCAUUGUUGGGCG